RNAcentral lists this ribosomal RNA (330 nucleotides) under uncultured bacterium. RNAcentral's name for it is "bacterial SSU rRNA". It matches the Rfam family "Bacterial small subunit ribosomal RNA", at positions 568 to 898 of the family's 1533-position model. The record is from RNAcentral.
UGCGUAGGCGGUCCUGUAAGUAUGGUGUGAAAUCUCCCGGCUUAACUGGGAGGGUGCGCUAUAGACUGCGGGACUCGAGUGUGGGAGAGGAAAGUGGAAUUCCUGGUGUAGCGGUGAAAUGCGUAGAUAUCAGGAGGAACGCCGGUGGUGUAAACGGCUUUCUGGACCAUAACUGACGCUGAGGCACGAAAGCGUGGGUAGCAAACAGGAUUAGAUACCCUGGUAGUCCACGCCCUAAACGAUGCAUAUUUGGUGUGGGUCAUUCAGUUGAUCCGUGCCGGAGCUAACGCGUUAAAUAUGCCGCCUGGGGAGUACAGUCGCAAGGCUGAA